AGUGAACGCUGGCGGUAGGCCUAACACAUGCAAGUCGAACGGCAGCACAGUAAGAGCUUGCUCUUACGGGUGGCGAGUGGCGGACGGGUGAGGAAUACAUCGGAAUCUACUUUUUCGUGGGGGAUAACGUAGGGAAACUUACGCUAAUACCGCAUACGACCUACGGGUGAAAGCAGGGGAUCUUCGGACCUUGCGCGAUUGAAUGAGCCGAUGUCGGAUUAGCUAGUUGGCGGGGUAAAGGCCCACCAAGGCGACGAUCCGUAGCUGGUCUGAGAGGAUGAUCAGCCACACUGUAACUGAGACACGGUCCAGACUCCUGCGGGAGGCAGCAGUGGGGAAUAUUGGACAAGGGGCGCGAGCCUGAUCCAGCCAUACCGCGUGGGUGAAGAAGGCCUUCGGGUUGUAAAGCCCUUUUGUUGGGAAAGAAAAGCAGCAGGUUAAGACCCCGCUGUUCUGACGGUACCCAGAGAAUAAGCACCGGCUAACUUCGUG
This 492-nucleotide ribosomal RNA is filed under the name uncultured bacterium. RNAcentral describes it as "partial 16S ribosomal RNA". It matches the Rfam family "Bacterial small subunit ribosomal RNA", at positions 29 to 507 of the family's 1533-position model. The record is from RNAcentral.